This 313-nucleotide ribosomal RNA is filed under the name uncultured fungus. Its description in RNAcentral is "SSU rRNA". It matches the Rfam family "Eukaryotic small subunit ribosomal RNA", at positions 1376 to 1688 of the family's 1831-position model. The record is from RNAcentral. Lineage: Eukaryota; Fungi.
UUGACGAGCAGCAGCUUCUGCUGGUCGCAGCCUUCUUAGAGGGACUAUCGGCUUCAAGCCGAUGGAAGUUUGAGGCAAUAACAGGUCUGUGAUGCCCUUAGAUGUUCUGGGCCGCACGCGCGCUACACUGGCAGAGCCAACGAGUUCAUAGCCUUGUUCGAAAGGACUGGGUAAUCUUGUUAAACUCUGCCGUGCUGGGGAUAGAGCAUUGCAAUUAUUGCUCUUCAACGAGGAAUUCCUAGUAAGCGCAAGUCAUCAGCUUGCGUUGACUACGUCCCUGCCCUUUGUACACACCGCCCGUCGCUACUACCUU